RNAcentral lists this ribosomal RNA (253 nucleotides) under uncultured bacterium. RNAcentral describes it as "partial 16S ribosomal RNA". It matches the Rfam family "Bacterial small subunit ribosomal RNA", at positions 524 to 776 of the family's 1533-position model. The record is from RNAcentral.
UACGUAGGGUGCAAGCGUUGUCCGGAAUUAUUGGGCGUAAAGAGCUCGUAGGCGGUCUGUCGCGUCUGCUGUGAAAACUCGGGGCUUAACCCCGGGCCUGCAGUGGGUACGGGCAGACUAGAGUGUGGUAGGGGAGACUGGAAUUCCUGGUGUAGCGGUGAAAUGCGCAGAUAUCAGGAGGAACACCGGUGGCGAAGGCGGAUCUCUGGGCCUUACCUGACGCUCAGGCACGAAAGCUAGGGGAGCGAACAGG